Molecule: long non-coding RNA, 2787 nt
Organism: Balaenoptera acutorostrata (minke whale)
Lineage: Eukaryota; Metazoa; Chordata; Mammalia; Artiodactyla; Balaenopteridae
Exons: 3
Source: RefSeq, a predicted model, not a curated record
UUAAUCUUAUUUCCUCAGUGUGCCACGUGGGGAACUGGACCAGAGCGUUCAGAUGCUUGUCCAAGAUGGCAUAAUCAGUGAGUCCUGAGCCAGAUUUGAGCCAGGCCCAUCUGCUUCCUAAGCCUGGCCUUUCCUCUAAGUCACAGCAAAUCCAUGAGCUUUUGCGAUCUCAGUUCCCUGACCAGGGAUCGAACCCAGUCCCCCUACAGUGGAAGCACGGAGUCCUAAGCACUGGACCACCAGGGAAUUCCCUGAUUGUGCCUAUUAAUCCCAGUAUUUCCCCUGUAUCUAAUUGGUACCUUCCCCCUCAGACAUAAACAUAGUGCCUGCUAUACAGUAAGUAUUCAAUACAGUGAGUAAAUAAAUGAAUAAAAGAAAGGGAAGAAAACCAUUCCAUUAUAUUUCAUUUGGAGUCUCAUGGCUCUAGUUCAUUCAUUCAUUUUCAAAAUGUUUUUAAAACAUCCACCAUGAGCACUGGCUAGAUGCCGAGUGUUCAGGGAGGAACGAGGUUAGACUUGGUCCCUCUCUCAUGCCAGCACCUCGCAGGGCUCCAUGGGUAACCAGAAAAGAAAGCAGAAGUCACCUGAUGCUCUGCCUUAGACAGGGAAGGGCAACGCUGGGGAACUUUCACGCCACGAGUGAGUUCUGUAACGUAGACUUCAUGCUGUGUCACCUCUAGCCCAGGGCAAGACAGAUACAGAACUUUGUACCACAGAACUUGAAGUAGGUAGGGAAGACAGACAGACAGACCAGACUGGGAGUUCUGAUACGGUGUGAGAAGUGCUCUUUAAAAGAGCUAUGUGCUAUGAGGGCAGAGAAGGGUCGCUGAAGCUAAUCUGGGGAGAAGUAGCUCUGGAAAGACAGUAGCAAUGGGGUAAAAUCAUACUUAAUCAUGAGAUAUGUUGCAACUGUGGCUUGUAAACUGGAAUAAUGAUUAAAUGUCUAGGUCCCUGAGGCUACUUCUUUGUCACUCCUCUCUGUUGAUUGUCAAACACUUGUAUGAAAUUGACAGGUAAGGAGGAAAUUAACCCCAUUUGGAUUAUGAAGAGAGGCAAGGAGGUUGAGGAGUAGCUCUUAUUUGGGUGAGGAUGCCUGAUUUAUUUUCCUAAUCAUGACUAAACCUAAGAAAGCAUACCAGGCUCAACCCUCAAGUGAGAAGCAGAAGGCCUCAGAGUCCAAAGUGGUGGUUGACACCCAAGCCAACAGGAGGCUGAAUCACGCUCUCCUGAAACUGUGGACAGAACUGUCUUCUUUCUAGCAAAGCUACACCUUGGAUGGUGUCUAGAAGUAACACUAGACAACCGCAGUCCUCAUAGAAGGAGCCAUGUGUCCACAGAUGCGCUCUCACCCCAUGAGCUUGCACUAAAACAGACACAUGGUCCAUAGAACUCCUGAGCACUUCCGGAUUGCUCAGCUUUGGGAUAUUGGUCCAGAUGUUAGGGGACAACUGCGGACAGGAAUAACUUUGAGUCUCCUCAUGCAGAGAAGUAUUUAAAAUAAGUUUUCUGAAACUUUAUUUUUUCGGCUUUCCUUAUCUGCAGGGAGAAGAGUGUAGUGGUUAUGAGCUGGGCCCUGGAGUUCGACUGUCUGGGUGCAAAUGCAGUGUGAUCUUGCGCACAUUGCGGAACCUCCCUAUGCCUCAGUUUUCUCAUCUACAAAAUGAGGAUAAGGAUAGAACCUACCUCCUAGAGUUGUUUUAAUUAUGGCAACAUGCAUUAAUAUACCAUGUUUCAUUGCUUCUGAGACAUGCAUUUUUCACAUUUGAACAUGUCUGAAAUUGAGGUGCAAUUUACAGUCAAUAGCAUAGUUUAGUUGCCUCAGUGGUAUGAAAAAUAAUGGUGUAGCUUAUAAUCAGUGGCAUCUUAGAUGUGAUGAAAUUGAGGAUACAAAGAGCUUAGAACAAUACAUAGCACAUAAACAGUACUAAAUGAAUAGUUAAUAGAUGAUAUAGACAUAAAAUAUAUAUAGCUCUUCUAACUUCAUCAGAGCCAACCUAUAUAUCUCAUUUUUAAACAAAUGUCCAAGAUAGCAAUGGCAAAUGAUAACAUGACUGACCCAUUUCCCAGGAAAGAGAGAAGCUUCUCUUCAUACUUGGCCUGGAGUUGGUGGAAGCAUCUGGUACCCAUCCCUUUAUCUUAGCCAAGAUCUCAGAAAGGUGAUAUAACUGAGACCCACUGAGAUGUGGAUACCUUGGACAGACCCCGCUAUCCCUAAGAGAAGAUGCAAUAAACACAUUUUCUAAAUACCAGCAAAUUUCCAGUGAUGCUCUAGUGAACCUUGGAGACUGGUUCUAUAAGCAACUCCUAAGCCUCCCCUACCAACUUUAAUUCAGCUCAACUCUGGGCCCCAAAAGGAGUUUAUUCAGAUGGCAGACACGCAGACAUGAGUGAAUGUUAUGUAUUUAGACAGGGGAUCAAAAGGAGCUUCCCUGGCCUUUUGUUUCUUGCUGAUUGCAUGUUCUCUUUUAAAAUGUAUUUGACUGUCAAUGGGAGAAAGCAGAACAUUCUGUUUUAAACUUCCACAUUUUAAAUUUUCUUCAUUUUGAAUAAUCUAUGUAUCUUUCAUCUGUAUUGUUUUAUUUAACUAAAACAAACAUAUAUUGCCUUUGUAUUAUGAAAUUUUGUUUUACUUUCCAGGAAAAAGGGAAAAUGAAGUUCUAUCAAUAUGUUUAAAAUAGAAAGAAUAAUUAGAAAAGUAGAAUAAAAAACUAAUGCAUGAUAUGAUCACAGUGUAUGAACAUAGGCAAAGGAUAAUAAAAGACUGAGAAAAGCUCAAUAAUUGCCUUUG